This 817-nucleotide ribosomal RNA is filed under the name Enterococcus lactis. RNAcentral describes it as "bacterial SSU rRNA". It matches the Rfam family "Bacterial small subunit ribosomal RNA", at positions 31 to 822 of the family's 1533-position model. Lineage: Bacteria; Bacillati; Bacillota; Bacilli; Lactobacillales; Enterococcaceae. The record is from RNAcentral.
UAGCCAUGGCGGCUGCUAUACAUGCAGUCGUACGCUUCUUUUUCCACCGGAGCUUGCUCCACCGGAAAAAGAAGAGUGGCGAACGGGUGAGUAACACGUGGGUAACCUGCCCAUCAGAAGGGGAUAACACUUGGAAACAGGUGCUAAUACCGUAUAACAAUCGAAACCGCAUGGUUUUGAUUUGAAAGGCGCUUUCGGGUGUCGCUGAUGGAUGGACCCGCGGUGCAUUAGCUAGUUGGUGAGGUAACGGCUCACCAAGGCCACGAUGCAUAGCCGACCUGAGAGGGUGAUCGGCCACAUUGGGACUGAGACACGGCCCAAACUCCUACGGGAGGCAGCAGUAGGGAAUCUUCGGCAAUGGACGAAAGUCUGACCGAGCAACGCCGCGUGAGUGAAGAAGGUUUUCGGAUCGUAAAACUCUGUUGUUAGAGAAGAACAAGGAUGAGAGUAACUGUUCAUCCCUUGACGGUAUCUAACCAGAAAGCCACGGCUAACUACGUGCCAGCAGCCGCGGUAAUACGUAGGUGGCAAGCGUUGUCCGGAUUUAUUGGGCGUAAAGCGAGCGCAGGCGGUUUCUUAAGUCUGAUGUGAAAGCCCCCGGCUCAACCGGGGAGGGUCAUUGGAAACUGGGAGACUUGAGUGCAGAAGAGGAGAGUGGAAUUCCAUGUGUAGCGGUGAAAUGCGUAGAUAUAUGGAGGAACACCAGUGGCGAAGGCGGCUCUCUGGUCUGUAACUGACGCUGAGGCUCGAAAGCGUGGGGAGCAAACAGGAUUAGAUACCUGGGGUAGUCCAAAAAGUAAUUUAAUAGAUUUAAUUU